CCUACGGGUGGCAGCAGUGAGGAAUUUUGGUCAAUGGGCGCGAGCCUGAACCAGCCAAGUAGCGUGAAGGCUGACUGCCCUACGGGUUGUCAACUUCUUUUAUAAAGGAAUAAAGUGAGGCACGUGUGCCUUUUUGUAUGUACUUUAUGACUAAGGAUCGGCUAACUCCGUUCCAGCAGCCGCGGUAAUACGGAAGAUCCGAGCGUUAUCCGGAUUUUUUGGGUUUAGAGGGAGAGUAGAUGGGUUGUUCAGUAAGUUGUGAAAGUUUGCGGCUCAACCGUAAAAUUGCAAUUGAUACUGGAAGCAUUGAGUACAGUUGAGGUAGGCGGAAUUCGUGGUGUAGCGGUGAAAUGCUUAGAUAUCACGAAGAACUCCGAUUGCGAAGGCAGCCUACUAAACUGCCACUGACAUUGAUGCUCGAAAGUGUGGGUAUCAAACAGGAUUAGAUACCCGUGUAGUC
Molecule: ribosomal RNA, 460 nt
Filed under: uncultured bacterium
Lineage: Bacteria
Description: partial 16S ribosomal RNA
Rfam family: Bacterial small subunit ribosomal RNA
Source: RNAcentral